GCUGGGCACUGUGGCUGCUGCCUGUGAUCCCAGCUCCCAGGGAGGCUGAGGCUGGCAGAUCGCUUGAGCUCAGGAGUUGUGGGCUGCAGUGGGCUGUGCCGAUCGGGUGUCUGCACUAAGUUUGGCAUCAAUAUGGUGAAGCUUGGGGUCCCCAAGUUGCCUAAGGAGGGGUGAACUGGCCCCGGUUGGAAAUGGAGCCGGUCAAAACUCCUGUGCUGAUCAGUAGUGGGAUUGUGCCUGUGAAUAGCCACUGCAGUGUAGCCUGGGUGAGACACAGUCUCUU
This is an unclassified non-coding RNA of Gopherus evgoodei (Goodes thornscrub tortoise), 283 nucleotides long. It matches the Rfam family "Metazoan signal recognition particle RNA". From Rfam's summary of the family: The signal recognition particle (SRP) is a universally conserved ribonucleoprotein. It is involved in the co-translational targeting of proteins to membranes. The eukaryotic SRP consists of a 300-nucleotide 7S RNA and six proteins: SRPs 72, 68, 54, 19, 14, and 9. The record is from Ensembl. Lineage: Eukaryota; Metazoa; Chordata; Testudines; Testudinidae.